RNAcentral lists this ribosomal RNA (465 nucleotides) under uncultured bacterium. RNAcentral's name for it is "bacterial SSU rRNA". It matches the Rfam family "Bacterial small subunit ribosomal RNA", at positions 46 to 524 of the family's 1533-position model. The record is from RNAcentral.
GCUAUAAUGCAGUCGAGCGCGAAGGUCUGAGCCUUCGGGCGGAGGGCCGAGUAGAGUGGCGAAGGGAGAGGAACACGUAGGUGACCUGCCCCGGAGAGGGGGAUAACCGUCGGAAACGGCGGCUAAUACCCCAUAAGCUCACGCGAGUUAGAGGGUGUGUGAGAAAAGCUCCGGCGCUCCGGGAGGGGCCUGCGGCCCAUCAGCUAGUUGGUAGGGUAAAGGCCUACCAAGGGGAAGACGGGUAGGGGGCCUGAGAGGGUGGUCCCCCACAUGGGAACUGAGACACGGUCCCAACUCCUACGGGAGGCAGCAGUAAGGAAUAUUGCGCAAUGGGCGCAAGCCUGAUGCAGCAACGCCGCGUGCCCGAGGACGGCCUUCGGGUUGUAAAGGGCUUUUCUGGCUGACGAGGAAGGACGGUAGGCCAGGAAUAAGCGUCGGCUAACUACGUGCCAGCAGCGCGGUAAU